AUCGCUUCUCGGCCUUUUGGCUAAGAUCAAGUGAAAACUGCUUAACAGAGUAGAUUUUCUUGAAGUAGUGUUCUUACUUCAAAAAAGUGAUAAGUAUGUAAGCUAAUGGAUAUAUUAAUUAGCUUGAUUUAACCAUUCUACAAUGUAUAUGAUACAGUUUGCAUAUGUUUGUUGUCCCCCCA
This is a small nuclear RNA of Cynocephalus volans (Philippine flying lemur), 182 nucleotides long. RefSeq annotates it as U2 spliceosomal RNA. The record is from RefSeq and is a predicted model, not a curated record. NCBI's taxonomy places the organism in Eukaryota, Metazoa, Chordata, Mammalia, Dermoptera, Cynocephalidae. The transcript has a single exon.